This is a long non-coding RNA of Meriones unguiculatus (Mongolian gerbil), 515 nucleotides long. RefSeq lists it as uncharacterized. The transcript has 3 exons. NCBI's taxonomy places the organism in Eukaryota, Metazoa, Chordata, Mammalia, Rodentia, Muridae. The record is from RefSeq and is a predicted model, not a curated record.
CCUCCUAGAGCCAAGCUACAGUUCGUGAGGAACCACGGGCAUCCGGGACAUGAUUCUCAAGGUGUACUGCUGUCUGUGCAGCAGGCCGCUCCAUCUUCUCUGGCAUCAUCUGGUGCCACAACCUGCUGAGGCUCUGAAAAAGGUUGGCUCUCUGAAAGGGUGGGCUUGGCCUCCACAAGAGUAGAUCUUGUCCCCUGGGAGGAAGGCUGUAACCAGAGCAGGAUCUGGACUUAGCCACAGUCAACACUGAAUAUGUACAGUUGACAGGAUGGCUCAGUGGGCAAAGGCACUUGCCACCAAGCUCGAAGACCUGAGUUCCAUCCCUGGGACCCCCGUAAAGGUGAAGAAGGACCUGAUUCCUCUAAGUUGUCCUCUGACUUCCACGAACAUGCUGCAUGCCCCUCUUCCCCUCUAAAAACAUGCGGAGGGCUGUCUUAAAAACAAUCUGUGUCCUUUGAAUUCAGGCAGUGUAGAAAAAUGGAACAUUAGAGUAAAACAACCUUCAACCCAGAUAG